CUACGGGUGGCUGCAGUGGGGAAUAUUGGACAAUGGGCGAAAGCCUGAUCCAGCAAUGCCGCGUGAGUGAUGAAGGCCUUAGGGUUGUAAAGCUCUUUUACCAGGGAUGAUAAUGACAGUACCUGGAGAAUAAGCUCCGGCUAACUCCGUGCCAGCAGCCGCGGUAAUACGGAGGGAGCUAGCGUUGUUCGGAAUUACUGGGCGUAAAGCGCGCGUAGGCGGCUUUUCAAGUCAGGGGUGAAAUCCCGGGGCUCAACCCCGGAACUGCCCUUGAAACUGGAUGGCUAGAAUACUGGAGAGGUGAGUGGAAUUCCGAGUGUAGAGGUGAAAUUCGUAGAUAUUCGGAAGAACACCAGUGGCGAAGGCGACUCACUGGACAGUUAUUGACGCUGAGGUGCGAAAGCGUGGGGAGCAAACAGGAUUAGAUACCCGGGUAGUC
RNAcentral lists this ribosomal RNA (439 nucleotides) under uncultured bacterium. RNAcentral describes it as "partial 16S ribosomal RNA". It matches the Rfam family "Bacterial small subunit ribosomal RNA", at positions 339 to 795 of the family's 1533-position model. The record is from RNAcentral.